This 68-nucleotide transfer RNA is filed under the name Rattus norvegicus (Norway rat). It matches the Rfam family "tRNA". Rfam says of the family: Transfer RNA (tRNA) molecules are approximately 80 nucleotides in length. Their secondary structure includes four short double-helical elements and three loops (D, anti-codon, and T loops). The record is from Rfam by way of RNAcentral. Lineage: Eukaryota; Metazoa; Chordata; Mammalia; Rodentia; Muridae.
GGGGAUUUGGCUCAGUGGUAGAGCGCUUGCCUAGGAAGCACAAGGUCCUGGGUUCGGUCCCCAGCUCG